This 253-nucleotide ribosomal RNA is filed under the name uncultured bacterium. RNAcentral describes it as "partial 16S ribosomal RNA". It matches the Rfam family "Bacterial small subunit ribosomal RNA", at positions 524 to 776 of the family's 1533-position model. The record is from RNAcentral.
UACGUAGGGGGCAAGCGUUGUCCGGAAUCACUGGGCGUAAAGCGCGCGCAGGCGGUCAUCUACGUCUGGGGUGAAAGCCCGGAGCUCAACUCCGGGAUUGCCUUGGAUACGGGAUGACUUGAGGAUCGGAGAGGCAAGGGGAAUUCCACGUGUAGCGGUGAAAUGCGUAGAGAUGUGGAGGAACACCUGUGGCGAAGGCGCCUUGCUGGCCGAUUACUGACGCUGAGGCGCGAAAGCGUGGGGAGCAAACAGG